GGGAAAUAAGCCAGAAAAUGCCUAGAUUAAUAAUGUUUUGUGUAAAAAAUUAAUGAAGCCAUUCUUGUUAGAUUGAAAGAUAAAAUUGUAAAUGAGAGAAUCCAGGCAAUCCUGCCUGUUUUGAGACUUAACACCUAUGAAUAAUGACUUGUCCCAUAAGUUAAAAGUAUGUGCAACUUCAUAGUUUUUUGUUUGAUUUUUAAAUUCACAGUAGUUGAAUUAUUCCUAUUAAAUAUAUAAUUUAUGAGAGAAGAAAGUAUGUAUGAAACACACCCACCCGCCCAUUUAAUGAUACAUCAUUCCAAUAGCAAUUCCCUGACACCAGCUGAAUGUCCUACAAUGCAAUUCAAUUUUGUUACUAAUUGCCUGAAGUUAGCACAGUUGCCACAGGUUAAGCGCUCAGUCCCACAGGACUGCCUCCAUUUCAGAUGCCAGCCACAAGUCUCAGGUAUUCCCGACCUACUUGGACUUCUUACAGGCUGACUCCAUAUUUGGGCAUUCCCAUGACCUACUCCCCAAGUUUGAUAAUUUGCUAGAAUGACUCACAGAACUUAGGAAAGCACUAUAUUUACUACUACAGUUUUUGUGUAAAGGAUACAACUUGGGAACAGCCAAAUGGAAGAGACACGUAGGGGAAGGUAUGGAGGACAUAGGGUGCAAAACUUUCAUGCCCUCUCUGUGCCACCCUCCCAGCACAUUAAUGUGUUUGGAAGCCCCUUGAGCCAGAUCAUUUCAAAGUUUUUAUAUGAGGUUUCAUUGAUCAGACAUGACUCAUUAAUCAUUAAUCACUAGUCACUUAUUUGAACUCAGUCUCCAGUUGUUCUCCCCUUGUCAGAGAUAGUGAGAUGGGCUAAAAGUUUCAAUCCUAUAAACACCUAGUUGGUUUUUCUGGUAACCAGCCUCCAUCCUGAAGGUACCUAGGGUCCCUCUCUAUCUCCCAACCCCUAUGAGUCACCUCAUGAACAUAAACUCAGGCAUAAUUGAAAGGGAUAUAUUAUGAAGUAUAAAAGACACCUCCUAUCAGGAAAUUCCAAGGGUUUUAGGAGCUUUCUUCCAGGAACCAAGGACAAAGAAUAAAUAUAUUUUUUAUUAUGCCACAGAAGAGUAAUAAGACGAACAUACAUACCCAGCAUCCAGAUUAAGAAACAUAACAUAAAGGUAUCUUUUAAGCCUCUUGUGUUCCUUUGUGAAUAUAUUUCCCCUGCUUCCCAGAGGAAACCAUUAUCUUGAAUUUUGUGUUAUCUAUUACCUUACUUGUCUUCAGAGUUUAUUAUAGUUUUAAUGCUAUCUAGCGGUAUAUCCGAAAUAAACCUCUUUUUGACCUUAAUAUAAACGGAGUUGUAGUGCAUGUAUGCUUUCAGUGGUUUAUUUUCUUAAUAAAUAUAGAACAUAUCAUUUGUUAGAUAAUUGUAUUGGGCCAUUCGUGACUACUUUUUUUGUCUUUUUGUUUUCUUAAGAUUUUGCUCUUAGCUUUGAGAAUUUCAUUUCUUUAACAUGGACUAGUGAUAUAUUAGGUAACAUGUACUUAACAGAACUGAAAAUCAUACUUUAAAAUUAUUUAUUCUGAAAGUCUUCAAAUAUACACAAAAGUAAAGAAUUGUAUAAUGAACCCAACAACCCAACACCUAGUUUCAACCAUUAUCAAGUCCUCCCCCUCCCCCCGGUAAUACUCAUUCACAUGUACACACACUCUACCCUUCUCUCAGCCAGAAUUAUUGUGAAGGAAAUGUAUGACCCUGUAACAUUUUUAUCUAAUAUCUAAUAUUGAGUGUUAAGAUUUUUAUAAUUAUUGCCAAAAAAUGUUUUUUACACUUGUUUCUUUGAAUUAGAAGCUAAACUAUGUCCACAUAUUUCAUUUUAUUGAUAUAUCUUUGUCUCUCUUAAUAUAUAACAGAGUCUCCCUUUUUUUUGUUGUUGACAUUUAUUUGUUGUAGAGAUUAGGUCAUUUGUCUGAUUGAAUUUCCCAUAUUCAGGAUUUGGCUGUUUCCAUCCUCAUACAAUCUUUCAACCUGUUCUAUCAUGUUUAUUUUCUGUAAACUAAUAGUAAAAUUUAGAUGCUUGAUUAGGUUCAGGUUUGACUACUUCUUAUGCUUUUUAUGCGGUAGUUUAUAAACAUCCUAUUGCAUCAUAUGAGGAGGUGAAAGGCUUCAAUAAUAUUUUUGAAACAGUGUCCUAAUAUAUAUGGAUUAAGGAUUAUAGAGCAAUAAUAUAUAAUUUCCAUAAGCUGGGUUGCUCUGUAGUCAUAUCUCCUCUAACCUCCUUUCUGGUUUUAGAUGGAGAAGCUAAGGUCCAGAAAGUUAAGUAUUUGCCAAAGGUCAGAUGGCUAAUUUAAUAGUAAAAGUAGAGCUCUUUUUCACCUCUCACUGCUUUUAAAAUUUUGUCUCAUAAAUCUUUGAUAUCUGUGGAUCAGAAAGAAUUCUGUUUGAGGUAGUCAGAAUAGCAUUUCUGCGUAUUCAACUAGAACAGGAGUUUUGGCCAGGCGCGGUGGCUCAUGCCUGUAAUCCCAGCACUUUGGGAGGCCGAGGCAGGCGGAUCAUCUGAGGUCAGGAGUUCGAGACCAGCUUGGUUAACGUGGUGAAACCCCAUUUCUACUAAAAAUACAAAAAAUUAAUGGGGUGUGGUGUCAGGUGCCAGUAAUACCAGCUACUUGGGAGGCUGAGGCAGGAGAAUUGCUCGAACCUGGGAGGCAGAGGUUGCAGUGAGCUGAGAUGGCGCCAUUGUGCUGCAACUUGGGCAGCAAGAGCAAAACUCUGCCUCAAAAAAAAAAAAAAAAAAAAAUAGGAGUUUUGUGACUGAGAAGUUAAGACAUAGUGAAGGUUCAACUCAUUGAGUGGUUCUGUUUUUGCACUGCCUGUGUGGUAGCUAAGACUUGAAUUUGAAAGCAAUAGUUAGAGGGGUUAGAUAGGAUCUAAGCCUGAAGGCUGGUAAAUCCAGGAUAGGAACAAUGCAAGAAAAUCUUUAUAGGCUAUAAUAGUAGUUGGUCAUUUAGUCCUAAAUAAUUUUUAUCUGUGGUACUUAUUCACCUCAUUUUUAUAUACUAGUAUUUUGCUUCCCAUAUUAAUUUCUACUUGUCUUAUAAAUGUUAAGUAUAAAUUAAUCUUAAUUUGAAGAAAAUGAAUUAUGGAACAAAAUACAGGAAGUGAAAACUAGAAGGAGGUAGCUUUCCUCUAUAAAUUAUGUGACUUAACAUAAAAAAUCAAUGAUGUGGAAAAGUCUUCUACAAGCCUGGUUACACAUCACAGAAAUACCUUACAGUUGCUUCAUCUGUUUGAUGCAUAAAGUGUUUUGUAGUGGCAGGCCCACUGCUUUUUUUUUUCGUGAUUCCUAGUGAACUGAUGGGAAUUUGUGCAGACAAUGAUUGUAGGUAUAUGACAAAUUAAUUUAUCAUUAAAACCAUAACUGACUGGGUGCGGUGGCUCGUGCCUGUAAUCCCAGCACUUUGGGAGGCCGAGGCAGAUGGAUCACAAGGUCAGGAGAUCGAGACCAUCCUGGCUAACACGGUGAAACCCCGUCUCUACUAAAAAUACAAAAAAUUAGCGACGCAUGGUGGCAUGCGCCUGUAGUCCCAGCUACUAGGGAGGCUGAGGCAGGAGAAUAGUGUGAACAUGGGAGGCGGAGCUUGCAGUGAGCCAAGAUAGCGUCACUGCACUCCAGCCUGGGCGACAGAGUGAGACUCUGUCUCAAAAAAAAAAACCCAAAAAACCCAUAACGUUGAUAAUCUUCUAAGAUGAUAGAAAUGAGUUGAUAAGGAGAAAAGAAGGUUUUAUGAUUAAAAUGAAAGUUUCAUGAGUAAUAACUUUAUUUUGUAAGGAAAAAAGUUAUGAUUACAUAUAAUUUCACUAAUAUAUAAAUGUAAAGUGGAGAAAUAAUCCCAAAUAAAUACAAUAUAAUAAAAAUUGGGGGACAUUUUAUUUAAAGUGAUGAGUGUGCUUUGUAUUCAUAAGUUGAUUUCAGUUUGGGAUCUCAAGUGCAGUUCUCACAUACCUGGUACAGUGUUAACUCUGUUUCUUUGUUUUUGUGGGUUAAGAAUUAAAAGUACCAAUAGCGGUACUACAUUCAUGCCACUUAGCAAUGAACAAUCCUAUUUCCUCCAAAAGAAUGAUACAUCAUUAUGACAUAGGGCUAGAGAGUUAAAAAAAAAAAUUAAAUAACGAUGCAUUUGAUAUUUCAUAAUCAUUCUUUAGUAUUUACAAGUAAAUACUACUUUACUUGAAGUAAGCUACAAUAUUUCCUAUUCUGCAGGCACCAAGUAUAACUCAGUUUUUGAUUCAGAGUGUUGGAAAACAAAUCUAUCCAGUUUUUUCCUUGAAUGUAUCAAUUUUUGUUCUGGCAUGUAAUGGUUAAAAGUAUGAUACAGGCCAGAAACAAUAAAAAAUGGACAAAAUAUAUAAAACAAUGUUUUCCAAGAUAUUGGAUAUCAGGCAAUGAAGGACAGUGAACCUUGAUCAAUAGGAAACAAAGUGAGUCCUAUGAUUGCCUCAGUUUAUUGCCUUGGGAGAAUUUCUAAGCCAUAGUACAGGGAGAGGGGAACAUAUGCAGCCUAGUGGAAUCCCUCUGUUGAUAGAGCCUGGAGCCUGGUGAAACCAGUGCAGCCAGAGUUUGCUAGAAGGGAGAGAGCUGCCUAGAGAGAGGAUUCUAGUGAUCUGGAAUGAAUCUCUCCUGAUUCUUCAGGUAAGUAUUGAUCACUGUAUGCAUGUGAGGAAAUGACCUGAGGCCAAGGAAAGGAUCAUCCAAAAAUAUUACAGUACAGUCUUGGAUCACAUAAAGACAUUUUGUUCAAUGAUAGACUGCAUAAGAUUAUAAUGGAGCUGGAAAAUUCCUACCACCUAGUGAUGUCAUAGAUCUCAAUGAUGAUGUCUUAUGUGUCUGUGGUGAUGCUGGUCUACUGUCUUGCUGAUACGUUUAUCCUUAUUUUAUCUUUAUUUUUUUUGAGAUGAGGUCUCACUCUGUUGCCCAGGGUGGAGUAGAGUAGUGCAAUCUUGGCGCACUGCAGCCUCGACCUUCUAGGCUCUGGUGAUCCUCCCACCUCAGCCUCCCAAGUAGCUGGGACUACAGGCACGCGUCACCACACCCAGCUAAUUUUUUGUAUUUUUUGUAGAGACAGGAUUUUGCCAUGUUGUCCAGGCUGGUUUCAAACUUGUGGGCUCAAGCGAUCCGGCUACCUCGGCCUCCCAAAGUGCUAGGAUUACAGAGAUAGAGUUUUGCUCUUGCUGCCCAGGCUGGAGUGCAAUGGCACAAUCUUGGCUCACCGCAACCUCCACCUCCCGAGUUCAAGCGAUUCUCCUCCCACAACCUCCUGAGUAGCUGGGAUUACAGGCACCCGCCACCACGCCUGGCUAAUUUUGUAUUUUUAGUAGAGACGGGGUUUCUCCAUGUUGGUCAGGCUAGUCUCAAACUCCUGACCUCAGGUGAUCCGCCUGCAUUGGCAUCCCAAAGUGCUGGGAUUACAGGCGUGAUAAAUUGACCAUCUUAUACCAGGAAAUCAAAUGAGAAGACAUCAGUAAAAAUAUUCUGGCCUACUCAUGUUUUAUUUAUCAUAUCCUCAUCAUUAAUUGCUUCUCGUAAUGCCACAGUUUGUCAUGGUAUUUGUGGCAGCAGGCAAAGUCCUUGUUCAGACUUUGAUUAAAUUGCUGUGGCAUUUUUCUAUUAAAAAGAUCUCCUGUUUCAA
Molecule: long non-coding RNA, 5668 nt
Organism: Gorilla gorilla gorilla (western lowland gorilla)
Lineage: Eukaryota; Metazoa; Chordata; Mammalia; Primates; Hominidae
Exons: 2
Source: RefSeq, a predicted model, not a curated record